RNAcentral lists this ribosomal RNA (348 nucleotides) under uncultured bacterium. Its description in RNAcentral is "bacterial SSU rRNA". It matches the Rfam family "Bacterial small subunit ribosomal RNA", at positions 8 to 350 of the family's 1533-position model. The record is from RNAcentral.
AGAGUUUGAUCAUGGCUCAGGACGAACGCUGGCGGCGCGCCUAACACAUGCAAGUCGAACGGAAUCAAGAGGAGCUUGCUUUUCUUGAUUUAGUGGCGAACGGGUGAGUAACGCGUGAGUAACCUGCCCUGGAGUGGGGGACAACAGUUGGAAACGACUGCUAAUACCGCAUAAGCCCACGGUACCGCAUGGUACUGAGGGAAAAGGAUUUAUUCGCUUCAGGAUGGACUCGCGUCCAAUUAGCUAGUUGGUGAGGUAACGGCCACCAAGGCGACGAUUGGUAGCCGGACUGAGAGGUUGAACGGCCACAUUGGGACUGAGACACGGCCCAGACUCCUACGGGAGGCA